GGUUGGUCCGAGUACAGAGGUAUUUGCAACUGACUGAUUACAACUAGUUACAGAUUUGUUUGUUCCUUCUCCACUCCCACUGCUUCACUUGACUAGCCUAAA
Gorilla gorilla gorilla (western lowland gorilla) is the source of this 102-nucleotide unclassified non-coding RNA. It matches the Rfam family "Y RNA". Rfam says of the family: Y RNAs are components of the Ro ribonucleoprotein particle (Ro RNP), in association with Ro60 and La proteins. The Y RNAs and Ro60 and La proteins are well conserved, but the function of the Ro RNP is not known. Lineage: Eukaryota; Metazoa; Chordata; Mammalia; Primates; Hominidae. The record is from Ensembl.